AAGUUCCUUCACCACUUGACUCUUGAGGUUCUUCAAGGUCAAUUUGCCUCCCACUGUCUCCUUGGCUUAUAAAUUCUCUCUCACGAAAGACUCCUCUUCUUGCUACAAAGACCACAUUAUCACUAGGUCUGUAAAAGAGGUAACCAAAGGAUCUUUGUGGGUAGCCGAUGAAAAUACACCUCUCGCUUCGGGGUUCUAGCUUAUCAUGAGACUCGCGCCUCACAAAAGCUUCGCAACCCCAAAUCUUGAUGUGGUCUAGUUUGGGUACUUUACCAGUCCACAUCUCGUGAGGAGUUUUGGCAACUUUCUUUGUAGGGACUAGAUUAAGGAUAUGGGCGGCAGUCUCUAAGGCAUACCCCCAGAAUGAGAUUGGUAGCGAAGCUCGACUCAUCAUGGAACGAACCAUAUCUAACAAGGUUCGAUUACGCCUCUCAGCCACACCAUUCAACUGUGGUGUCCUGGGAGGUGUCAAUUGUGAGACUAUCCCACAUUCCCUUAGAUAGUCGAGGAACUCUGAACUAAGAUACUCACCACCACGAUCGGAUCGUAGCAUCUUAAUUUUCCUGCCCAAUUGAUUCUUGACUUCUUGUUUAAAUUCGUUAAACCUUUCGAAAGUCUCUGACUUAUUCUUGAUUAAAUAGACAUAUCCAUAUCUACUGUAAUCAUCAGUAAAAGUCAAAUAAUAACGAUUAGCAUCCCUUGUGGCAUGUUUGAAUGGUCCACACACAUCCGUGUGUACAAGGUCCAACAAACCUUCACCCCUCUCACACGAACCUGUGAAGGGUGACUUUGUCAUUUUUCCAAGUAAGCAUGAUUCGCAACUAUCAUCUGACUUUAGGUCAAACGACUCCAAGACUCCAUCCUUUUGGAGUUGGCCUAUGCGUUUCUUGCUUAUAUGUCCAAGACGACAAUGCCAUAAAGAUGCUUUAUCCAAGUUAUUAUUAGUAGAAUCAAUACACAAAACAUUAUUUCCCAAGUUAUCUACAACAGAUACAGCUUCAUACACACCAUCACAAGGUAAUGCUUUAAAAUAAAAGACAUUAUUAUAGAAAACAUCUAUAGAACCAACUUCAUUAUUAAAUGAAAAGGUAAACCCUUGUUUGUACAAAGCAUGAAAGGAAAUAAUAUUUCUUGCCAUUCCUGGCGAAUAACAACACUUAUUCAAAUCUAAACUAAACCCACUACUUAGCGAUAAAGUAUAAACUCCAAUCUUGGUAACAGGUAUAGCUUUCCUAUUCCCCAUGAUCAAGUUUAUCCUUCCUUGCUCCACAUCCUCACUUCUUCUUAGUCCCUGCAAGUCACAACAAAUGUGAAUACCACACCCGGUAUCAAGGACCCAAGAAUUAGAAUGGGGUGAGUUAUUAGAAAUGAUAGUGUAAAUACCUGCAUGGUUGGGUUUAACUUUCCCAUCCUUCACAUCUUGCUGGUAUUUUGGGCAGUUCCGCUUCCAAUGAGCUUUUUCAUGGCAAUAGAAGCAUUCAGCCUCUUUUGGGUCAGAAGAAGGAGUAAUGAAACCUUUCUUGGUUCCACUUGAAGAAGAGCCAUCAAGGGUCCGAACCUUGGUACCCUUAGAAGAGCUCUUUCUCUUCCUCCCUCGACUUUUCCCGAUUGCCAAAACCGGAGUAGAGUUUUGAGUAGGAGUGAUAGCAACCGACUUCCCCUUAAGACCUGAUUCUGCGGUCUUGAGAAGUCCCUGAAGUUUGCUGAGGGUGACUUCUUCCUUGUUCAUGUGAUAUGUCAUGCGGAAUUGAUCAUAGCACGAUGGUAAGGAAUGCAAAAUAAUAUCUAUUGCAAGAUCCUCCGGGAAGUUCACAUUAAGCUUCAGCAAACGAUCCACAUACCUUUGCAUUUUCUGCAUGUGGCUCGUGACGGAUUCCCCGUCCUUCAUCAUGGUUGUUAUCAUGGAGCAGAUGAUUUCAUACCUCUCUUGUCUUGCACUUUGAUGGUAUCUUUCCAUCAAAUCUUGGUGCAUUUCAUAAGGGUAGAAAUCCUCAUAAGACUUUUGGAGUUCCGCUGUCAUCGUGGCCAUCAUGAUGCAAGCCACUUUCGUAGCAUCCCUUUCAUGUGCCCGAAAUUCAGCGAUCUCCUGAGGAGUUGCAGUGGACUCAUCAAUCUCCUUAAGCUCCUUGUCAAGGACAUAUUCUUUGUCCUCGUAGCGGGUAAUCAUCCUGAUGUUUCUGAUCCACUCAUUGAAGUUGGAUCCAUCAAAGGUGACUUUCCCACACAAGUUCAUAAGGGUAAAGGAGCCAUUAGGAUUAGAGCCAGAAGCAUUGUUGAAAGACAUCUGAAGGAAAGAGGACAAGAUUAGUUUAGAUAUAAGAGAGUCCUUAAUAAAACACCCAAAUGUAAUAUUAAGGCUAGGAUCCAAUCACAAUAUAAUAUAACUUAGAAGAGGUAUGCCGUAAUCUAAGCUAUAUCAUAUUUGAAAGGUAGGUGAAUGACGAUUCACCAAUUUCCACCACGAAAACCGCAAUAUUUUAGUAUUAGGUUUUUGAAUGGUUCUUAGAAAUUCCUAGAUUCUUUGAGAUUCAAUGAACUUUUCAAAGGCAUGUUUCAAUCUCGAGUGUGCCCUCCAAGUUUUGUGACUGGGAUACCGAGGAUCACAAAACGAGGUGUGAAGUAACCAUGCAAAUCACUUGGUACCCUUAAAGUUUAUCACUCAAUCGAUGUGCCGGUUAACCACACACGCUCCAUCGAUACUAUAAUAAACCCUAAGUCACCCUUUACCUACCUUGUUAAGUCCAAGUUAGUGUGCCGGUUAACCACACACGCUCCACCAACGACUUAAUCAAAGUGUAAAGUGUAAUUUCAUGGAAUAGCACCUUAUUCACAUUUUUCCUAAAGUAACUAAGAUUGGGAAUUUAAUAAAACAUUUAGUUACUUUAUAAUAUUCAUCAUACUUUGAAUGAGAAUUAAUAAGUCCUUGUCUUACCCGUUCGGCUAACGACCCUCCACCGAUCAAGCAAGCGGUGGGUGAGAGUGGACACCCAUUAAGUCACCAUUUUAUAGGCAACAACCUUAUACCCACCUUAUAGACCGGCUUCGUGAAUGAGGCGUACUAGCGGUAAGACGACUUUGUUCUUAUACAUAUAUAUAUAAUUAUUAAAUCAUAAUAAUAUAAGUAUAAGGGUUGAAUUUUAACUUUUAAAAUUCUAGGGGUUGGAACUAAAGUUUUAACUUAACUUUACUUGUUCCAAAACUUGAGGGCAAGUUUUGUAAACUUUCAAAACUUUUCAUUUCUUGUAACUUAUGAGUUUAAUAGAGUAAUAAAAUGAGGACUUUUCAUUUUUCCUAACUCUUGUGUUCUUUUAAUGGUUUUUAAUCCAAGAGACUUUUGGUUUUCCAUAACUUGAGGACAAGUUAUGGACUCCAUUAAAACACAUUAUGAUCAUGAAUUAAUCUACCACAUAGGUUACAAAUAAUUCCUAUGAUCAUCUAAACAUCAUAAGAACAAGAAUAUGAAUAUGAACACUUUCAAGAAUCAAAAUCACAUUUAAUCUUUGUAAUUUUGAUAACUAGUUGUUGUAAAUGAGUUAGAAAAGACAUUACACCUUCUAAAAUAAGUUUUCAAGUACCAAAACAUUUUAGGGUAAUGAUUCUAAUCCAUUUCCAGCAACUCAAGUCGAAAUUCUGCACUCUGUCGACCCUACUCGCCGAGUGCAUAAACCUACUCGCCGAGUAGGUUGAAGAUACACAUGAACUCGACGAGUCCUCCCCAUGGACUCGCCGAGUCCAUCAGUCAGACAGCAAGAUUUUCGACUUUCUUCAACUUUUAAGCACAAAUAACAAACAAACAAGCCUAGGCUCUGAUACCACUGAUGGGUUUUGAGCAUUCUAACACUUCCUAAGUGUACAUGCAACCCUAAUAACCUUGGAUCUAUGUUUGUCUAAUUAUCAUGCAAAGUUGAAUUCCAAGGUUAUAUUCCUAUCUAGCAUACAUGGGGAACAAUUUUAACUUGAAUCAUAGAUAGAAUAACUUACCUUGUUGUUGCUUGUGUUCCUUGAAACCUUGUGAGCCUAGCACCCCAAGUGUGAUGCCUCAAAUGCUUCACACAACACCAAAUGCUCUUGGAAAGACUCUUGAGAUAACACACACUUCUCAAAAUCGGCCAAGCCCUCUAGUUUCUUAGUGUAGCCGAUUUUGGUGGAGAAUAUGAUUCUUAUAUAGUGUUGACACAUCUAGGGUUACACCAUGUAAACCCUAAUGUGUCAUGACUCUUCAUUUCCAUGACCCAUGGGUUUGUAACUCCCAUGGAGCAUCCAUGGAGCAUCCUAUGGGUAGAACCCAACUUGAUAAUCCAUGGAGCCUCUUAGCCCACUAUACAAGAUAUGGAUGAUUUACAUAAUCAACCCAUAUAUUUAAUUAGUUAUCCUUUGAUCACUUAAUUAAUUCCAAAUUAAUUCUUUGAUCAACUAAUCAAAUAAUAUUAUUAAUAUAUUAGAACUUAUAAUAUAUUAAUAAUCUCCAAGUGUUAUUUCUCUCAUUUAGUCUAUCCAAUUGCAUGGUGCCAUGCAACCCAAAUGGACCAUGCCGGGUCGGGUCAAGUACAAGCCCGAAAUAGUUAUGGACUUAGACACCUUAUCCAACAGUCUCCCACUUGGAUAAGUCUAAUAACUAUAUCUCUAGUACUUCAGGAACCGACCGGCAAUCGUAGCUCUUUCAAGGUCUCUCGGAACUGAGAAGAUGAUGGUACGCCAUUUAAGAUAAGUGAUCAUAUAAUCCUCCGUUCUAGAUAUCAGCCGGACAAAUACAUGGAACAUUGUCUUGCUUAUUGUCCAGCAUUUGUUUCCCGAUUUCCGAUUUGUUUGACAUAGAACUUAAUUGAACACAUCAACUUAGUUCUGACCGGGCCCGGUACAUGGGUCAAAACAAAAUCAUCGAGGGGCCCAGAUAUCAGCUUCUAAUCCAAGAAGGAACAGAUAAACUUCGACUCAUAUGUUUGUUCUACCACUCAUUGAAUUACACACAAAAGUACGUUUUAUAACAUCGAGUUACCAAUGCGGUUUCGUACAGUCAAUGCAUAACCAACUUGUAAGUAACAAAUCAUAUCUCUAGGUUUGAAGACUUAUAUGAUAUUACCGUCUCACGAUCACUCGAGAUAGAAUUCCAUGAAGUGAUUCCAGUGAGCGUGGGUUGAGUCCAAUGCUCAGAACUUAUGAGCACUCAUGAUUGUUGUAGCCUUGUCCAACACCUUAGACCUCUACAACCCAUCAUGACAGUCUUGAUUCAUACCUACUUCCGACAUAUGACCGACUGUGGAGGUUUGAAUAAUAUGUUACACCAAACAAAAUUAUUCUGGAAGUCAAAACAUGCAAAAGAAAUAUAGUAAACGAUUGACAAGAGAUAGCAACACUUUACUCAUAAAUAAAACACCUUUUAUUCAUCAUCAAAUGUCAAUUACACUUUACAAAUUUCUGGGUUAUCUAACUACUAAAACUUAUAUCAUCCUUCAGCCCUAUGCUCCGAGCAUGCUGGAGAUGCUUAACCCUACUCAGUCCCUUCGUGAGGGGAUCUGCUGGGUUCUCAUCCGAUGAUACCCUCUUUGCCACGAGGAGUCCUUCUUCGAUCCGAUGUCUAAUGAAAUGGUAUUUUCUGUCGAUGUGUCUGGAUCUCCCAUGAUCCCUUGGUUCCUUGGCUAAGGCAACAGCACUUUCACUAUCACAGAAAAUUUCCAUUGGCUCUUUAAUAGCUGGUACAACUCCAAGGUCUCCAAUGAAGUUCUUCAGCCAUAUCGCCUCCUUUGCUGCUUCGCUAGCUGCAAUAUACUCUGAUUCACAAGUAGAAUCUGCCACUGUCUCUUGCUUGGAACUCUUCCAAGAAAUUGCUCCUCCGUUUAGGGUAAAGACCCAGCCCGACUGAGAGCGGAAAUUAUCCCUAUCAGUCUGGAAGCUAGCAUCACUAUACCCUACAACUCUCAAGUCAUCACUCCCACCGAGGGUAAGGACCCAGUCCUUAGUCCUCCGUAGGUACUUGAGGAUAUUCUUUACCGCAGUCCAGUGUGCCUUGCCAGGGUUCGCCUGAUACCUGCUAACCAUGCUCAAGGCAAAAGCUACAUCGGGUCGAGUACACGUCAUAGCAUACAUGAUCGAUCCUACAGCCGAAGCGUAAGGUGUUCGACUCAUUUCUGCUAUCUCAGCCUCAGUGCUAGGGCUUUGUGUCUUACUCAAUCUGGUGUUACUCUGGAUGGGUAACUCUCCUUUCUUGGAAUCCUGCAUGCUGAAUCUCUUCAGCACCUUAUCCAAGUAGGUACUCUGACUAAGUCCAAUUAGUCUUUUACUCCGAUCUCUCAAGAUUCUUAUCCCUAGAAUAUAGGCAGCUUCACCAAGGUCCUUCAUAGCGAAACACUUCCCAAGCCAGGACUUUACUUCCUGCAGGGUUGGAAUGUCGUUUCCUAUGAGUAGUAUGUCAUCCACAUACAAUACCAAAAAGCUAACUAUACUCCCACUAGCCUUGACAUACACACAAGAUUCAUCUUCACUCCUAGAAAAGCCAAAUUCCUUGACCUUUUCAUCAAAGCAAAGAUUCCAUCUGCGAGGUGCUUGCUUCAAUCCAUAAAUGGAUUUCUCAAGCUUACACACUCUAUUAGGGUACUCGUUGCUGACAAAACCCUCUGGCUGACUCAUGUAAACAUCUUCAGCCAACUUUCCAUUAAGGAAAGCGGUUUUGACAUCCAUCUGCCAUAUUUCAUAGUCAUGAAAUGCAGCUAUGGCUAACAGAACCCGAAUAGACUUAAUCUUGGCUACCGGAGAAAAGGUCUCAUCAUAAUCCACUCCAGGAAUUUGAGAGAAGCCCUUUGCAACCAGUCUAGCCUUAUAAGUGUGUACUUUACCAUCCAUGUCGGUCUUCUUCUUGAAGACCCAUUUGCACCCUACUGUCUUACGACCUGGUACAUUUUCAACCAAGUUCCAAACUUGAUUGUCAUACAUGGAUUGUAUCUCGCUAUCCAUAGCCUCUUUCCAUUUAGCAGACUCGGGGCCUGCCAUGGCUUCCUCGUAGCUGUUAGGGUCAUCUUGACUUACUAGUGUCUCAUCACUAAUAAGUGUCUCACCUUCUGCAGUAAUAUGGAAUCCAUAGUAAUGCUCAGGUGCACUCCUAACUCUCGUGGAACGUCUCAGAGGUACAGAUUUGUCAAUUGGCUCAACAGGAGUUUCCUCCUCAAGUUGAGGGCUAGAGUUUGAAGUUCCUUCACCGCUUGAUUCUUGAAUUUCUUCAAGAUCAAUUUGCCUCCCACUGUCUCCUUGGCUUAUAAACUCUCUUUCUCGAAAGACUCCUCUUCUUGCUACAAAGACCACAUUGUCACUAGGUCUGUAGAAGAGGUAACCAAAGGAUCGCUGUGGGUAACCGAUGAAAAUACACCUCUCGCUUCGAGGUUCGAGCUUAUCAUGAGUCUCGCGUCUCACGAAAGCCUCGCAACCCCAAAUCUUGAUGUGGUCUAGUUUAGGUACUUUACCAGUCCACAUCUCGUGAGGAGUUUUGGCAACUUUCUUUGUAGGGACUAGAUU
Molecule: long non-coding RNA, 7503 nt
Filed under: Lactuca sativa (garden lettuce)
Lineage: Eukaryota; Viridiplantae; Streptophyta; Magnoliopsida; Asterales; Asteraceae
Description: long non-coding RNA (LSAT_LNC005365)
Source: RNAcentral